AAACCUAUUAAGUAUAUAUUUAAAUACUUACAAAGUAAAAUAACAUACGUGUUUAGGAAAUGUAUUGUCCUCGGACAUCAGAAUUAGAUUAAUGCAACCAGUAGAAACAAUCAGCACUAGAUACUCCAUACCUCGCCCAUGGUUUUGAAUUUCAAUCCUGACCCGUCACAAACGUGAAGAAAGCUUUGGGAAGUAGCCCCUAUCAGCUUGGGCAGAGCAGGUCAAGAUUGCCAUCUCAAAUAGCGUAUAUUGAGAUUCCAGCUAUGAAACACCGACACUCCUAGAAGCCGACGUAUCGACGUUUGGGACAACGGGGACACGGCGGGGACACGCCCCAAAACGUAUGGGACACGCCACUGGCGUGUCGUAAUUUUUUUAAUAUGUUUUUUGAGGGGACACUGCAAAAAUGGGACAAAAACGGCGGGGGGUCAAAUUUUGCAUUUUAAACUUUAUAGGGCAAAUUUAAUAGUAGUGAAAAGUUAAGGGAAAAAAGUGUAUUUGUCCUAUAUAUACUAUUAAAUUCCCCUAGGCCCGGUCAAUUUCUCCCAAUCCAUCGCGUUUUCGCGCGCCCAAAUUUCUAAAAGGAAAUUAGUACAACUCGUUUAUCCAUUCAUUAAAAGGAACAAAAUGACACCACAACGGGCGGAAUACUUGGUGUUUGUCAUAGCAAUCUCCGUCUUUUGUCAGGAGAAGUCCACAAUAUUGUAGCGGGUAGACCUAAGAUGUGGGAAUUUUGCGGGAGACCAAUUUUGCUCACUUGAAGAUGUUUGGGUAUGCUAGGUUGCAACCUCUCUCUUGAUGAACCCAGUUGGAGGUUGUAGUCUUUACGGACGAUGGAGACGUUGAGGGAUCAAUACGCAGGUUGAAGUGACGAAGUUUGGGUCUAGUUAAAUUUUGAAAACAUGGUUCAUGUUUGCUUAGUUUAUUUAUUUUGCUUAUUAUUAUGCAACUAUGGAUAUUCCCUAUUUUCAAUUGGGUUGUAAAGUUGUAACUUGUUAGAAAUUAGAACUACUACUUUUAGUGUUAUCAAGAAUAUAUUAUAUAUAAAUAUUAUUUAUAUUAAUAUUAUUUGCCGUGUCCCCGCGUGUCCCGUGUCAAUUUUUUCAAAUGCCGUACCGUGUCCCUAUUGUGUCCGUGUCCUUAUCCGUGUCCGUGUCCGUGCUACUAGAUUCAGCUAUCCCAUAUCCCAAGAAACAAGUCAUAGAGCAUGAAGAUCCCAUUCCCCUUGACCCCCCUUGACCCCUCAAGAAAAAGAAAAAAGAGAGAAAAAUCAGAAGCAAAUUUAGCACCUCCUAUUGUAUAGUUUUGAUGUAAGUUGUCAAAUUUUA
This 1328-nucleotide long non-coding RNA is filed under the name Actinidia chinensis (golden kiwifruit). Its description in RNAcentral is "long non-coding RNA (ACHI_LNC001751)". The record is from RNAcentral. Lineage: Eukaryota; Viridiplantae; Streptophyta; Magnoliopsida; Ericales; Actinidiaceae.